AAAAUGCCAACAUGUUAGUGCUAAUACUAAAAUUAUUGCAGUUUCAGUAGUCUUACAGUCAUAAUGCUGACCAGUAUUGCAUUGCAGAAGUAGUCGAAAACCAACUUUAACCCGCUCCCCAAAAACACAAACAUCAGAAUUUCACCAGUCAUCUGUCAUUAAAAAUGCUAAUGUGUUAAUAGAUUAGAUAGAACAUACUAAUGUCCGCAUAGAAAGCAGAAUAUGCCAACAUUAACACAAUAACGCCAUUGGAAAUUAACUAGUACUGAAUGCUUAAGCAGUUGCUAGAAGGGGGUUAGCCACUUGUGCCCCAAUCUUCUUGUACAUCUGGAAUUGUGUUAUAAAGAACAUCUUGUGUAAAAUUUGUGCCAAAACAACAUGUGGAUCCACACCAGAUCUGCUAUGAUGACCCUGAGCAAAAACGGAAAAGACAGAACAAAAUAUAUUUCAGUUGCUAGCCAAGAUGCUAACAUCACAGUGUUAGCAAACAUUAACACCAGCAUAUUUGUUGCAAGCCAGCAUUCAUUCAUUAAUUUUCCUGCUGCUUAUCCAGCAAGCAAGCAUGUUUAUAAGCAGUUCAGAAUUAGCAUGUUAACAUCUACUUACUACAUGUAAGUUGCACACGUACAGUUAGCAUGUUGACAACAGUAAUGUUUGAUACUUUUUUUUUUCAUUAAUGUCACACCAGCACCCCAUUCCCCUUUUGCUAAAAAUGUAAAGGACAGGCUGGUGAAUGUUCUAUUAGUUUCCAUAAGAG
Thalassophryne amazonica is the source of this 757-nucleotide long non-coding RNA. RefSeq lists it as uncharacterized. The record is from RefSeq and is a predicted model, not a curated record. The transcript is spliced from 3 exons. Lineage: Eukaryota; Metazoa; Chordata; Actinopteri; Batrachoidiformes; Batrachoididae.